UACGUAGGCAGCAAGCGUUGUUCGGAAUUACUGGGCGUAAAGAGUGUGUAGGCGGUGCUCCAAGUCUGGUGUGAAAUCUCCCGGCUUAACUGGGAGGGUGCAUUAGAAACUGGAAUGCUAGAGGAUGGGAGAGGUAAGCGGAAUUCCUGGUGUAGCGGUGAAAUGCGUAGAUAUCAGGAGGAACACCUGUGGUGUAGACAGCUUACUGGACUGUCACUGACGCUGAGGCGCGAAAGCUCGGGGAGCGAACGGG
This 253-nucleotide ribosomal RNA is filed under the name uncultured bacterium. RNAcentral's name for it is "partial 16S ribosomal RNA". It matches the Rfam family "Bacterial small subunit ribosomal RNA", at positions 524 to 776 of the family's 1533-position model. The record is from RNAcentral.